CCCGAGGCAGCGAGGCAGGCCAUCUCAACCUGACCGUGAGGGCAGACAGGAAGGGGCAGGGCUGGCUGGUCUCUCUUCACCCGGAAACUGGCCGUCUGGGACAGCAGGGCCAAGCUGCCCACCGGUGGAGCCACAAACACACGUCUGAGUUCACUGACUUCAGGGGUCCUUGUGAUGUCCUGAGCCGUGACCUCAGGGGGUCGAAGGGAGCCCACUUCUUGGAAGCCAUCUCUUCCAGCGACCCUGCAGAAACUUCCUAGGGGAUGUGAUACUGUGGUCUGCUCCAAAGCUGGUACUCACAGCCUGUUACCAGGUGAAGGGACUCUGAGGGCGUUUCCAGGAGGCAGUGCCUGCUUUCCACCACCCCCGAUCUUCCUUCUGAUCCCAGGCUGGUAUUUAUAACCCACUACCGGAUGCAGGGCCAGCCAAGAGCACCCAAG
RNAcentral lists this long non-coding RNA (440 nucleotides) under Equus asinus (donkey). RNAcentral describes it as "lncRNA (ENSEASG00005029588.1)". Lineage: Eukaryota; Metazoa; Chordata; Mammalia; Perissodactyla; Equidae. The record is from RNAcentral.